CUUGCAUCAUUCCAUUUUAGGGGAAAAGCUGCAGUCCAAGAACGACCUGGACCCCAUGGACCCUGCAGCUUAUUCAGACAUACCACGGGGCAAGUGGUCCACGGGGCUGGAGAAGAGCAACGAAGCCAAGACGGGAGCAGACACCACGGCCAGCGGGCCGUUGUACCAGAUGCGGCCGUACCCGAGUCCCGGGGCGGUGCUGCGACUCAAUGCGUCGGGGCGUCGUCCGCCGUCGGACGACGAAGACGAAGACUGAGUGUAACACUGUGCGGAUAAUAAAUGUGACUAACUGCGGAA
Ixodes scapularis (black-legged tick) is the source of this 297-nucleotide long non-coding RNA. RefSeq lists it as uncharacterized. The record is from RefSeq and is a predicted model, not a curated record. The transcript has 2 exons. NCBI's taxonomy places the organism in Eukaryota, Metazoa, Arthropoda, Arachnida, Ixodida, Ixodidae.